AUGAGGGUGGUACGGGCGUGACCAAAUGGAUUGACGACGUGUGCAGUGCAAGUGACAUUGUGAUCAAAAUGACUCCUCUAGUUUCAUUUGUCGCGUUCUUGCUGAUCGGCAGCGCAGCGGCUGUCGUACGACUGGACUGUAGUGACAACGCGACGUGCAUAGAACAUGCAACCAGGGACAUGAUAAGGAGCUUGAGGCAGCAGAAAGCGGUGAGGAUAUUCGACCUGAUGACGAUCGAGCCAUUGGGAACGAGGCAAGCGAGGUCCAGCCGGGGCUGCUAACGAGAUUUCUAGAGAGUCACGCCUUCAGUUUCGAUUGGAACGACUUCACGUUUAGGAUCUCGCAGCCCCGCGACGGCAGCGACAAGUUGGAGGUAGAAGUGUUCGAGAGCAGGACUGCUAAAGAUGUUUCAGAACCAAGUUCAAAGAAAUCUAGCAGCAAGGCAGAAGAAGAAAAGGAAGAGGACAAAACACCGAAGCUGGGUAUAAGACGCAGACACAAAAAGAAGGUGCUCCAAGUGAUCGUACCAUUGCUGUUUGGCAUGAAGUCUGCCGGGGCAGUCAUAUUCGCGUUUACCUUGGUAGCCGUACUUACGAUAAAGGCAUUCGUUGCCAGCAAGAUGGCGCUCCUGGUGACAGUCGGCAUGGCCAUGAAGAAACUCUACGAUUCUUAUAGUAGCGGCGUCGGUUUACACAACCACCCGUACCUUUACUCGCAAUACCCGAUCGAUUUCCCAAGCGCCUCAUCGCACGCAUACUCCGUUAGCGGAGUGAGCUCACAGUUCGCGUCACCAGAGAUGUAUAACCCAACCGCAUUGGGAACACACGCGCACUCGCACGAAAUACUCCAAAAUGACGCCAGCGCUCAGCAGUCGCAACAGGCAACGACACUGCAACUCGUAAACGCAACGCGAGCCGCGGAGAGAUGGGACGGCUACCGCAGACGUCCAAUGUAUUAUGGAACCUCGCGCGCUACUUCAGAGUCCUAUUCGGCCUUCCGACACCGCCGCUGACCCCUGCCCACACAAUGACCAUGCCAAUGUACGUAAUGCCUCAGAUGUACGAACAGGUCACAGUAACUGUACCGCCGGCAACGUAACAAAAUUGGACAUAUGACUGUUUCAAGGAUCAAGUGACGAUUGUAAACAAACAGCUAAAUGUCAGGUCGUCACGUUUUCUUGAUCCGUGCGUGUGAUAAAAUGUGAUGACCUGGCAUUUAGCUAGCUAACUCGCAGUGUUUUAGCUUAAUUGGCUAUUUCACUAAUGUUUUACUGAAUUAAAUUUUAAACCAGAUGAUAAAAUGCAGCGAGUUAUCCCACCCCUUAAGACUGAUUCUUCUUUCUAACAGCGCGAGCCCGUCGACUUUGUUAAGUAAUUUAUUGUUAAUUAUAAGUAAGGAUUAUUUAUUCAGCACAUAGUGGAAUAAAAUAUUAAUUUGA
RNA transcript from Manduca sexta (tobacco hornworm), 1438 nucleotides. RefSeq lists it as uncharacterized. The transcript has 5 exons. NCBI's taxonomy places the organism in Eukaryota, Metazoa, Arthropoda, Insecta, Lepidoptera, Sphingidae. The record is from RefSeq and is a predicted model, not a curated record.